GGAUCUAUACAUGAAACAGUAUGCAUCAAUUUAUCGAGUCAUUACAAAGAUGAAGCUUCCAUUGGACAUUGAAAAUGGGACAACCAGUUUGAUAAUUCGAGGUUAGCUGAUACACUGUCUGAAAAUUGUUAAUUUGUUAUUGAAACAACCGAUAUCUUAUUGGUUUUCAACGGAUUAGUACAUUUGAAAACUAAUAUUCUAUAGGUCAAACUGUUAAGCAAAAUUAUCCACCCGACAAGCAGCCCUAGAGCUCCCCUGCCAAAAAGUGUCAAUUUUAGUGCGAGUUUCGGACAGUGAAGUAGAGUGGGAUGAAGGCGGCAUGUGGUGAAUGCGCUCAGAAGUAAUUUUCACAGCUCAGAUUUCGGUACAUGAGUGACAAAAUUUAGUCACUAAUUAACUAGUCUUUUACAAUUUAUGUUGGCCC
RNAcentral lists this long non-coding RNA (424 nucleotides) under Solanum tuberosum (potato). RNAcentral's name for it is "long non-coding RNA (STUB_LNC003810)". Lineage: Eukaryota; Viridiplantae; Streptophyta; Magnoliopsida; Solanales; Solanaceae. The record is from RNAcentral.